AGCGAAGGCUGUGCCACUGUCUGUUUUUAUUUGUAGUGAUAUACCCAUAACCGCAAAGCAACCACUGAGAUGCCUUUCUACAUGCACAGCCUUUCCUCCGGGUUGAGCGGUGGCCCACAUAAGAUGGCUAUAUGUACCUAUAGACACGUGCUGGGCCGGGUCAGUGCCCCGUAACAAAGGUCGCAACGACUCUAAGGGUUCGUUUGGGAUGCCCACCACAGGGCGCAGCCACUGCCUCCCCUGGGUUCUCAGCCUCCCACAGUCCCUGACAGGACCCCCAUCACCUUCCCAGGAUCCCCAUAGCCCACCAAGGAGGAACCCCACAGCAAUCCACAUCUCAGGAUGGGGCUCCAGCUGUGCCCCGAUGCGUUCAUUCAAGAGAGGAGAAUGAAUGAGCGUAACGGGGGCACCUUUCCUCCUGACAUUGCCCACCGCCUGCGUGUUGGCU
RNAcentral lists this long non-coding RNA (448 nucleotides) under Gallus gallus (chicken). RNAcentral's name for it is "lncRNA (ENSGALG00010028936.1)". Lineage: Eukaryota; Metazoa; Chordata; Aves; Galliformes; Phasianidae. The record is from RNAcentral.